GCAAAGCUACAGUCCCCGCAUAUGCCCAGUGCUAGUCCUUGGAGUCAGAUUGUGCAUCACAGGAUGGUAUGGUGAGGCAGUGAGCACUGGGGGUGUGGGUCAGAUGGCACCAGGUUUGGACCCUAAGACUUAACCUGCACUUCAGGUUCUCACAGGGACGUGAAACAGCCAAAGCCUUAGAAAGGCCUUCAGUGGAGGGGAGCCGCUGUUGCCAUGAUUUAUAAACUGUUCAGAGCAGGUGAGCCUGCUCUCUCUGCAUCCUCAGUGGAUUAGUCAGGAUUCUCUAGAGAGACAGAGCCAAUAGGGGGUGUGUACAUACAUAUAUCUAUGUAUAUACAUAUAUGUCUACAGAGAGAUAUAUAUACAUACAUACACACACACACACACACACACACAUAUAUAUAUAUACACACACACACAUAUGGGGAAGGCAGAUGGAGAGAUUGACUUCAGGAUUGGGUUCAGGUGAUUGUGGAGGCUGGCAAGUCUGAAGUCUGCAGGGCAGGCCAUGCAGGCUGGGAUGAAUUGCAGCUGGAAUCUGAAGGCAGUCACUGGAAGAAUUCCCUCUUCCUGAGGGAGGUUAGGGCUUCUCUGAUAGCUCAGUUGGGAAAGAAUCUGCCUGCAAUGCAGGAGACUCUGGUUCGACUCCUGGGUUAGGAAGCUCUGCUGGAGAAGGGACAGACUACCCACUCCAGUAUCUUGGACUUCCUCUGUGGCUCAGCUGGUAAAGAAUCUGCCUGCAAUAUGGGAGACCUGGGUUCGAUCCCUGGGUUGGGAUGAUCCAAGGUGAAAGGCUCCUGUAUUCUGGUCUGGAGAAUUCAGGGCAAUGGGGUCUCAAGUGUGGUCUGUUCGGUCCUUCAACUUAUUCAAUGAGGCCCACCCACACUAUGGAGGGUAAUCUGCUUUACUCAAAGUCUGCUGAUUUAAAUGUUAAUCUCUUCUAAACACACACACACACACACACACACACACACACACACACACCUAAAACCUUCAUAGAAAUAUCUAUAAAAAUGUGUGACCAAGUACCUGGGUACCAUGGCCUUGCCAAGCUGACAUGUAAUAAUAACCGUCACCCCCAGUACGCAGGCCCAAAUGCACUGAUGCAUUCUGCCCAGCAGCCUCAGCAAAAAGCAUUGCGAGCGCUGUGGGACCUGACAUGGACUCCAUUCAGAAGUCUUUAUUGUCAGAAGCAGCAGAUAAGGCUGAUUGUGCCUUGGCAUCCUGGAGCACAAGAUUGAGGUCAGCAUUGCUCCCGGGUUUUUAGAGCUUGCAGGAUGUGGGGUGGACGCCAGAGCUUCUAGAAUCCAUCAACUCAGUGCCUGGAAGCAGGUGAGCUGCAAGUGCCCAGUGUCAUGGGACAGAUCCUGGCCGUCCUGUUCUUGACAGACUCACGGCCUGGUCCUCAGGUGCAUCUGGUACCCCGUGAAGAGGAGCACAGCGGGAGCAUGUGUGUGCCCUGCAGCAGGCCAGCGCCUCAUUCAAAAGAACCCCACAAGACCGACAUACAACCCCACUAUUCUUAAAUACUUUAUAACAACCAGAAACUACAACCAUCAAAAUGCUUUCAGGGCAGCCCACUCCAAAACGCCAAGGCAGGGGCAACUUGGGCUGCCAGAACUCAAAGCCGGAGACCACCAGCCUCCUCCAUCCCCUCCUGCUUCCAGCCCUCCCGCAUCACAGAUCUUCAUCGUCAAACGUCUCCGUGCACCUCAACAUUAUCAUCUCAUCGUUGACAGGAAGGUCCGGUUCCUGCAAAACAGCAGUAGAAGAGUAUUCAAGUUUUAUCUGAGGGCUCCAGGCCUCAGGCGGGGGAGAUGGCCCCACCAUCUCAGGCAUGCCUCCUCCCUCUGCUUCUCCCCCACAUCUCUUCAGCAGUAUCUUCUCCUCCAGCUCCAGCCAGGAAGUUUCGACUAAUGAGGGGCAGGGAGUCCAUUUCCAUUUCGUUCGUCUCCGUACUCUACCAUCUCCAGAAGGGCUUCUCCUGGAUACAGUAGAACUGGCUUCUCUCCUCUCCUGGGGAUUUCUAAGAACCCAUGAGCGAGACAGUGGCAAUCUUAAAGCUUUAUCCAAAUGCCCUCAACAGAGGAUGAUGAAUUAUACCACGAUGCACCCACCCAUGGAAUACUCUGCAGCUGCUUCCAAUAAAACGAAUGGGCUUCUUCUCUGUGGGACACAUUAUUUCAAAAGAUCACGGUCCAGAGCAGUGUGUAUAGUGGGUGACAAUUUGCAUCUGAUGUGUGUGUGCUCAGUUGUGCCUGACUCUUUGCGAUCCCAUGGACUGUAGCCUGCUAGACUUCUCUGUCCCUGGGAUUUUCCAGGCAAGAAUAUUGGAGUGGGUUGCUAUUUCCUUCUCCAGGAGAUCUUCCCAACCCAGGGGUCAAACCUGGGUCUCCUGCAUUGCAGGCAGAUUCUUUACCACUAGCGCCACCUGGGAAUACCAUUUGUAUUUGAUAGAUUAUAUAAGUAGCUGGAGAAUAUUUCUGGAUGACUGAAUGAGAAAUUGGUCAUGAUCAUUGCCUUUGGGGGAGGGAAUGCCAUAGGAACAAGGAACAUUGGUUAGCUAUUUGGGGAUCAUUUUGAAAAGAAACAGCAUUAUAUUAAUUUAGCAAGUGUUUCUCAUUCCCUAACAAUGACACUAGCUAACCUGAUUCCCCAUUACCCCUUCCCCUAAAAGUACAUUCCUGGGUUUGUGUUCUUUAAGCAUAUCCCACCCCAGCAGAAAAUCACCCCUGUAGUUCAUUAGCGCUGCUCGUUAGGGGUUGAUUCCCUUGGGCCUUGGGAAGCACCCCUAAUCAAGCCAACCAUCUCAUGGAUGUAGAGCAAGAUUGGGGGUGAUUCUGAGAAUGAAGCUCCAGAGAAUGGUCCUCAUCUGCCAUGCCCUCCUGAUAGGGGUGGGGCACAUCAGAGCCAGAGUAUCCCAGAGGGGGAAGAACUGGUCAAAGGAAAAUCACCGGACCCCUUGUUUAGGGUGAGUAUGAUGGCAAAGGUUGAGAAAAUGGGGAGCUGGAAUGUGGAGGAUGCCCCGAGGCCAAACAUCUGGGGAGGGAGCCACACACUGGAGCCUGUCACAGAGUGCCUGAAGGUCAUUCCAAAUGUUCUGCUUCCUUCAGUCAGUUCAGUUCAGUCGCUCAGUCGUGUCCGACUCUUUGCGACCCCAUGAACCACAGCACGCCAGGCCUCCAUCACCAGCUCCUGGAGUUCACCCAGACUCAAGUCCAUUGAUUCGGUAAUGCCAUCCAACCAUCUCUAAGCCCCUGCAAACGAUGAUGAGGGACUCUCCAGCUGCAGAUCUGUGAAAUCGCUGGGCUGCUAGAGGUGUCUGCUGGGACUGGGUGCUGAGGUGUGUUGAGUAGCAGUCCCCCAGUUCACGCCCACCUGGAGCCUAUUUGAAACUAGAGUCUGUGCAGAUGUGAUUAACUAAGGCUGUAAGCUGAAGUCAUCCUGGAUUUGGGGUGUGCCCUCGAUCCAAACGAUAGGUGUCCUUACACGGUGAGGGGACACAGAGAUCUGUGAAGAAGACAGAAGACAGAGGCAGCGAUGCAGCUACAAGUGCAGGGGUCUCCAGCACUGCUGGGAGCCACCGGGAGCUAGGAAAAGGCAGGAGAAAUCCUCCCCUAGAGCUUUCAGGGGGAGCAUGGCGGGUCAACACCAAAACUGGGCCUUCUGGGAGAAUAAAUUUUUGUUGUUUUAAGCCCCUGAGUUUGUGGUAAUUUGUUACAUGAGUCCUAGGAAACCAAUACAGGCACUGGGAUGAACGGGGAGGAGAAUGCAGUUGCCCUCUUUACACACCCUGUACCAAGGCCUGAGGCCUCCCACAUGAGGACACUCUUGGGCAGCUUGUUCAAGACACAGAUUCCUGGGGCCACAUCUCACAACACUGAAUGGAAAUCUUGAGUGGGGGGAUGUCAGGAAUCUGCAUUCCAAUGAGCUCCCAAGGUGAGUCAAGUCUGAGCGCCUCUGCUUUACAUGAGCUCCAGUCCUGCCAGUUCUUUCUCUCCUGCUAUGUGUAAGUAAUGAAGUGGGGAAAACAAAGACUGUCCUGUCCAUCUGCUCUCAAAGCCUUGGUAAAGUGACCUGACUUCACUGUGCCCAGAGAAAGGGACUCGGUGGUCAGGGCUGGCGGCCAAGGGUUGGUGGGGGGUGCAGAGAGCAAACUGCAGGAAUCGGCCUUGGCUCCAAGUGGUCUCAGCAGAGGGAAGUGAAGGGUAAGCAGGAAAAGGGCCACUUUGAAAAGCAGCCCUGAUUAUUUUUGGACAUUUUCAUCAUUAUCACGUACCUUUUAAAAUAAACAGCUAUAUUUUUGCUAAAUCAGUGGGAAAAAUCCAUGGCUCUGAAUCUGAAAGGGGCUGUCUCCUUGGCAGCUCAUCAAUAACCCCCUCCCUCUAUGGAAACUUCCAGGAAUGGACCUUCUAACCAAGACCCCCACAAUGCAUGUUCACUGUGGGCUGCACAGUCAGCUUUUUGGAAGCAGAAUUAAUAUCCUUCAAAAGCUGACAGCAAAUAUAACCCCAGCAUCUCAGAAAAUGAUGAACUAGUUCAGCCUCUCAAAAGGCAUCGAGGAAUCACACAUGUAGGAAUGCCUGCCAAGGGCCAGGCCUCUAAGGUCUGGUCCCUGUCUCGAGGCUCCCAGGCUCGGAUGCGCCCUGCAGAGCUCCCCCUGCCUCUUCCCUGGACAUCCUCCUUCACAAGAUGCAUUAGACUAAAGUCAACUAUCCAUGGAAGAGCGUCCCCCCGUGGUGUGAACUGGGGGAGCUUCAGCCAGUGCUCCCCUCCAAGCCCACCAUCUGAGGGAAGGCGAGCCAAGGCCUGACUGCACCCUGCUCCAUCCUACCUGUUUGAACUGAGUGUUAACACAGCAAAAGCCUUUGAAAAAAUCGAUGAUAUGCACAUACAGCUGAAACUUGUCCUCGGGAUUUUUUGAGUUGCAAACAGCCAGCUAGGAACUAAGGGCAGAAAGGAGGAAGAAACAGCAGUUAAAGAUGCUCUUCUGACUUCAGGGGGUCAUCCCUCCUUCUACAUCCUUCCCAUCAGCACUGUGAAAACAGCUUCUCCCCUUGUGCAGCUCAGAGACUCUGUCACUCACCCCAAGGCUCAGGCAUGGGGCCUGUUUCCAUGUUGGCCCAGACUCUUUCUGUCCACCUCUCAAACCAGACUGACUGCUGAAACCCACCCACGGCCACCUCACCCCAGGAGACAGUGCAAACCACCUAGAGUUGACAACUCAUUGAUGUAUCUCAGCCCUGGGUCACAUCGGGAGAACUGUCUCUGCUGAAGAAGCCCCAGAGAAGAUCCUCCCCACGGCAAUGGCACAAUCCUAGGACCAGCCUUUUCUGAAUCACAGGAAAAAGUGGAUUUCCAAGAACUUCCACUGAAUUAUGCUCCCCUCUGAGAGGCUGCAAGGGAGAGGGUCCUAAACACCCAACAGGGACACCCACACACCCACACAGUCUCAUACCCCUCCUCACCUGGGACUAGAUGUGCCUGGACCCUCACUUUUGUCCAGGAAACCUGCCACAUCGAAGGCAUCUUCAAAAAGGAUCUGAAAGAAACCACAAAACUUCACGUGUCAGAAAUCCGCCACACUCUGAUGUUUGCUCUGGACUGCCGAGGGAUAGAAAAGCUACCUACCUCUUGUCCCCAAAGGGGUGCAUGUUAAAGCUGAGGCCCAAACCCAGGGUCUCUGCUUGGUGACCUUUACAGGAGAUAAAUAUGAAGUUCUUGACCACCCAGAAAAAACUGCCAACCCCAGAGAGUGGCUGAGAGAGGGAAAGCACUGGGGACAACCGUCUCCUCUUUCUAAAGAGGGUGGGAGCUUAGGCGGGAGAGGCAACAGCCAGAGGUGAGCCUCUGUUUACACAGGAAAGGGUUCAUCUACACCGCCCAAGGGACAGACUGAGCCCAGCAUCCACAAUCUAGCAGUUCCAUUCCAGGGGAACAGAGGUUCAAGGGCUCGGGGGUUAGGUUGCAGAGAGUCCACUCCCAGGGUGGAUAUGCCACAGUCAACCCGCUCCCUCCCACGUCCCUGCCCCAACCUCACUCCACCUUGGGAGUGCCUUGCAGUCACACCAGUCACUUGGGGUGCUUGUUAGAAACACAGAUUCUGAGCCAUCCCCUCCAAGACUCGGAUUCAGUGGGUCUAGCGUAAUAGCCAAGCACCUGCCUUUUAACUAAACUCCACUUGAGAAGCCUGGAGGGUCAACAAUAAACUAGAGACCAAAUGCCGAGAUUU
This is a long non-coding RNA of Bubalus bubalis (water buffalo), 6232 nucleotides long. RefSeq lists it as uncharacterized. The record is from RefSeq and is a predicted model, not a curated record. NCBI's taxonomy places the organism in Eukaryota, Metazoa, Chordata, Mammalia, Artiodactyla, Bovidae. The transcript has 2 exons.